GACGAACGCUGGCGGCGUGCUUAACACAUGCAAGUCGAACGAGAGACGGUGAAGAGCUUGCUUUUUAUCGAAUCGAGUGGCAAACGGGUGAGUAACGCGUAAACAACCUGCCCCUGGGAUGGGGACAACAGCUGGAAACGGCUGCUAAUACCGAAUGAGCUCCACGUGCCGCAUGGCAGGUGGAGGAAAGGGUGGCCUCUGGAACAAGCUACCGCCGAGGGAGGGGUUUGCGUCUGAUUAGCUGGUUGGUGAGGUAAGGGCUCACCAAGGCGACGAUCAGUAGCCGGUCUGAGAGGAUGAACGGCCACAUUGGAACUGAGAGACGGUCCAGACUCCUACGGGAGGCAGCAGUGGGGAAUCUUCCGCAAUGGGCGAAAGCCUGACGGAGCAACGCCGCGUGAGUGAAGACGGCCUUCGGGUUGUAAAGCUCUGUUACACGGGACGAACGGGUUUUGUGCAAACAGCAUAAGACCGUGACGUACCGUAGAAGAAGC
This 494-nucleotide ribosomal RNA is filed under the name Megasphaera sp. oral taxon 123. Its description in RNAcentral is "bacterial SSU rRNA". It matches the Rfam family "Bacterial small subunit ribosomal RNA", at positions 28 to 491 of the family's 1533-position model. Lineage: Bacteria; Bacillati; Bacillota; Negativicutes; Veillonellales; Veillonellaceae. The record is from RNAcentral.